AGUGUUAGGCAAAUCCGGCACUCAUAAGGUCAAGCUGUGAUGGGGAGAGGAAAUUGUUUCCUCGAGUCGUUGAUUUCACACUGCCGAGAAAAGCCUCUAGCUAGAUUUAUGGUGCCCGUACCGCAAACCGACACAGGUAGUCAAGAUGAGAAUUCUAAGGUGAGCGAGCGAACUCUCGUUAAGGAACUCGGCAAAAUGACCCCGUAACUUCGGGAGAAGGGGU
RNAcentral lists this ribosomal RNA (223 nucleotides) under Staphylococcus ureilyticus. RNAcentral describes it as "partial 23S ribosomal RNA". It matches the Rfam family "Bacterial large subunit ribosomal RNA", at positions 1528 to 1749 of the family's 2925-position model. The record is from RNAcentral. Lineage: Bacteria; Bacillati; Bacillota; Bacilli; Caryophanales; Staphylococcaceae.